CAAAUCACGCUUGACGAUUCUGACAUCUCCGAGAACGAUAAAAGGUAGAGCUUUCUUCAGCAAUGGUCAACACAAGAUCUUCCACAACAGCGACGCACGGCGGAAAAGUUUAUCAAAUGAUGACUGCGAAGAAGAAGGCACCGGCAGUACCCAAAGCAAAUAAAGGGAAUUUGGAGACAACGACAAAAGGGAAGGAACCAGUAGCAAGCACAAUCCAU
Molecule: non-coding RNA, 218 nt
Organism: Salvia hispanica
Lineage: Eukaryota; Viridiplantae; Streptophyta; Magnoliopsida; Lamiales; Lamiaceae
Source: RefSeq, a predicted model, not a curated record